UCGAGAAUCUUUCGCAAUGGGCGCAAGCCUGACGAAGCGACGCCGUGUGAGCGAAGAAGGCCUUCGGGUUGUAAAGCUCUUUCGCUAGGGAACAAGAGAGGUCGAUUAAUAACCGGCCGAUUUGAUGGUACUUGGUAAAGAAGCACCGGCUAACUCCGUGCCAGCAGCUGCGGUAAUACGGAGGGUGCAAGCAUUGAUCGGAAUUACUGGGCGUAAAGGGCGCGUAGGUGGUACGAAAAGUCAGAUGUGAAAUUCCGGGGCUCAACCCCGGAGCUGCAUUUGAAACUUUCGAACUAGAGGUUGGUAAGGGAAAACAGAAUUCCACGUGUAGCGGUGAAAUGCGUAGAUAUGUGGAAGAAUACCGGUGGUGAAGACGGUUUUCUGUGCCAAACCUGACACUGAGGCGCGAAAGCUAGGGGAGCAAACAGGAUUAGAUACCCCCGUAGUCC
RNAcentral lists this ribosomal RNA (449 nucleotides) under uncultured bacterium. RNAcentral describes it as "bacterial SSU rRNA". It matches the Rfam family "Bacterial small subunit ribosomal RNA", at positions 355 to 796 of the family's 1533-position model. The record is from RNAcentral.